This 476-nucleotide ribosomal RNA is filed under the name uncultured bacterium. RNAcentral describes it as "partial 16S ribosomal RNA". It matches the Rfam family "Bacterial small subunit ribosomal RNA", at positions 28 to 523 of the family's 1533-position model. The record is from RNAcentral.
GAUGAACGCUGGCGGCGUGCUUAACACAUGCAAGUCGAGCGAGUGAGUUCUACGGAACGAUCUAGCGGCGGACGGGUGAGUAACACGUGGGCAACCUGCCUCAUAGAGGGGAAUAGCCUCCCGAAAGGGAGAUUAAUACCGCAUAAUAUUAUCGAGUGGCAUCACACGAUAAUCAAAGGAGUAAUCCGCUAUGAGAUGGGCCCGCGGCGCAUUAGCUAGUUGGUGAGGUAACGGCUCACCAAGGCGACGAUGCGUAGCCGACCUGAGAGGGUGAUCGGCCACAUUGGGACUGAGACACGGCCCAGACUCCUACGGGAGGCAGCAGUGGGGAAUAUUGCACAAUGGGGGAAACCCUGAUGCAGCAACGCCGCGUGAGUGAUGAAGGUCUUCGGAUUGUAAAGCUCUGUCUUUGGGGACGAUAAUGACGGUACCCAAGGAGGAAGCCACGGCUAACUACGUGCCAGCCGCCGCGGUAA